Molecule: transfer RNA, 78 nt
Filed under: Candidatus Pelearchaeum maunauluense
Lineage: Archaea; Thermoproteati; Nitrososphaerota; Candidatus Caldarchaeales; Candidatus Calditenuaceae
Description: tRNA-Arg
Rfam family: tRNA
About the family: Transfer RNA (tRNA) molecules are approximately 80 nucleotides in length.
Source: RNAcentral
GGGCCCGUAGCCUAGAAUGGAUAGGGCGUCGGCCUGCGGAGCCGGAGGUCCCGGGUUCAAGUCCCGGCGGGCCCACCA